Long non-coding RNA from Jatropha curcas, 610 nucleotides. RefSeq lists it as uncharacterized. Lineage: Eukaryota; Viridiplantae; Streptophyta; Magnoliopsida; Malpighiales; Euphorbiaceae. The record is from RefSeq and is a predicted model, not a curated record.
UGUCAAAAUUUUAUAAUAUUUUCCAAAAUAAAAGAAGAGAAGCCUAACUCAAGGGCCAUUUGUAAACCGAAAAUAGCUGCUUCUGCUUCCGCUUGGUUAACUCUCAACAACAGUUGCACAAGCUUGCAACCAGACGCCAUCACACUACCUUGCGAGUCUCUAAUCACAGAGCCAAGCCCACAACCUUGAGAAGACCCAAAAGAGGUUGGGAGCUCGCCAAAGAGACCACGCGACCAUGGAAAAGAUGUGAAGUUGUUCCUGACAGAGACGUUGCGAUAGCUCCUAAAACCAGUCAAAGAAAGGCACCUGCAGAUAUUGAUCCACUCGAAUUCGCAAUGGACAUUAUAGCCAAACAAAUCUGUCCUUCAUACAAUCCUUAAGCACAUGAGUGACAUCCUCAAGCCCUUCUCCACACAUAACAUAGACAGGAUCAAAAUCCAGCCCCCGUUUGUUAAGUUCUCUUACAACGGGUAACCGGAUUAUAUAAGCACGGAAGAGAAAAUGUUUUACCUUACCCUGCUUCCAAAUAACAAGGAGGUACCCACUCCGAAUUGAAUACUGUCCAUCCUUUGUUUCAUUCCAAAUAACAAUAUUAGCAGGACGAGAUAAA